UACGAAGGGGGCUAGCGUUGCUCGGAUUUACUGGGCGUAAAGGGCGCGUAGGCGGAUAGUACAGUCAGGCGUGAAAUUCCUGGGCUCAACCUGGGGGCUGCGUUUGAUACGUGUUGUCUGGAGUUCGGAAGAGGGUCGUGGAAUUCCCAGUGUAGAGGUGAAAUGCGUAGAUAUUGGGAGGAACACCGGUGGCGAAGGCGGCCCUCUGGACCGAAACUGACACUGAAGCGCGAAAGCUAGGGGAGCAAACGGG
This 253-nucleotide ribosomal RNA is filed under the name uncultured bacterium. RNAcentral describes it as "partial 16S ribosomal RNA". It matches the Rfam family "Bacterial small subunit ribosomal RNA", at positions 524 to 776 of the family's 1533-position model. The record is from RNAcentral.